CCUCUUGAUCAACACUAGAGACCCUUCGUUUGGAGCUGCACUACCUGAUUUAUUCAAGCAGUUGACAUGCAUCAGGUCAUUGAAUUUGUCAAGGUCUUCAAUCAAAGAAAUACCAAAUGAGGUAGGGAAAUUGAUACAUUUGAGACACCUCAAUCUGGCAGAUUGUGGAGAGCUGGAGUCCCUGCCAGAAACCAUGGGUGAUUUAUGCAAUUUGCAAUCCCUAGACGUUACUUGGUGUCGUUCUCUCAAGGAAUUGCCUAAUGCGAUCGUAAAACUUAUCAAAUUGAGGCAUCUCCGGGUUGUUCUUUCAGGUGUGGCCUUCAUACCAAAGGGAAUAGAGAGGAUAACAUGUCUUCGAACAUUAGAUUUGUUUAUUGUGUGUGGUGGUGGUGGGAAUGAAAGUAAAGCAGCUAAUCUAAGAGAAUUGAAAAACUUAAAUGACAUUGGAGGGAGUCUUGAGAUAUGGAAUCUAGGAGGAGGUAAAGAAGAUGCGAGUGACGCUGCAGAAGCACAACUCAAGAAUAAGAAGCGCCUGCUUCGUUUGCGAUUGGAUUUCAUCGCAGAGAAAACAGAGUUGCAAGCAAAUGAAGGCUCUUUAAUUGAAGCUUUACGGCCUCCGUCAGACUUGGAAGAUCUAACCAUAUAUGGGUACGGAGGGUUGGAUUUGCCAAAUUGGAUGAUGACAUUAACCAGAUUACAGGCGCUUAAACUGUAUGAUUGUACAAAGCUGGAGGUCUUGCCUCCGUUGGGAAGAUUGCCCAACCUUGAAAGACUGGUAUUGAGGUCGUUGAAGGUGAGAAGGCUGGAUGCUGGAUUUUUAGGUAUAGAAAAAGAUGAGAAUGCCAGUAUUAACGAAGGAGAAAUUGCAAGGGUCACUGCUUUCCCCAAAUUAAAAAUACUUGAGAUUUGGAAUAUCAAAGAGUGGGAUGGAAUUGAAAGGAGAUCAGUGGGAGAAGAAGAUGCCACCACAACUUCAAUAUCCAUUAUGCCACAACUUCGACAGUUGACAAUUCAUAAUUGCCCGUUGUUGAGAGCACUACCAGACUAUGUUUUGGCAGCGCCUCUACAGGAAUUGUAUAUAGGUGGCUGCCCCAAUCUAGGUGAAGAUUGGCAAAAGAUUUCUCACCGAAACAUUUAUUUUUUUGAUAAAUAGGUGAGAAAGACAGAACUCUUUAGUCUUUAGAACCAGCAGGAACAGCCGAACAGGUAAAUUCUUCUACCAGUGUUAAUUCCUAACGGUAAAAGAUUUGGUUCUGAGUGUAUUAAUUAUUUGCUUUGGUGUUAAUUCUUACCAUUUACUCUAUGUGACCUCUUUACUUACCAACUGAAUAUUAAUUUAUGACCUCUUUACUGUAAUUCGAUUUUAUUUCCUACUUACCAUUCACUCUAUCAAAUGCAGCUGUGAUAUUAUCUCGCUCACGUGAAGCUUAUUCCUUACUUAAAUUCUCCAAAUGCCACUCUAAAAAAACUGCCUUUGAAAUUUCAGACCAUAUUUUAGAUUUUUUCCUUGAUAAUUUUGGAUUUUAGUUUUAUUAUUUUUAUUAAUUGUUUUCUUGUUAUUUACGGAUAUUUAGGGUAUUUAAACCUAUCUUUUCAUAUUUUAGGAUACUUUUGCUAAUAAUAUAUAUUUUUUAUUUUUUAAAAAUUAUUUUUGAUAUCAACGUAUUAAAAUAAUUUAAAAACACUAAAAAAUAUUAAUUUGAAGUAAAGAAAAAAAUAAAAUAAAAAUAAAUUUUUUUAAAAGCGCUUUUAAAAAUAAAAAAUAAACCGGGCUUAAUAAGUAUUAAAAAUAUUAUUAUUUGUUUUAUUAAUAUUAUUUUUUAGUCUAAUUAAUAGUAUUAAUCUCAAAAAUAUUGUUAUUUUUGGUGCUAUAAAUAAUAUUAUGUUUAUAUUAAUUAAUAAUAUUAAUACUAAAAAUGUUAUCAGUUAUAUUAUAAAUAUUAUUAUUUUUAUUAAAAUUUAUAAGAGUAUAUUUUAUUGUAAUUAAUACUAUUAAUAAAAUAAUUGAUGAAUUUUAAAGAAAAUGUUAUAUCAUUUAUUAAUUUUAUCAAAUGUAUUGUAAUAAUAAUUUUAUGAAAUUAUACUUAAUUUUAUAUUUAAUUUCAUUUAGAAGUGCUCCGGUGGUCUUUGCUGAUUUCCUCUGUAAUUUAGAUCUGAAUUUCAAUUCCCUGAUUCCAUAACCUUGGCCCGUAUUCUAAUAGCCAAACAACUCUCUUCCUAUGUUCCUGCAUCAGCAUGUCGACUCCUCACUCUCUGAUUCCUGAAUCUUGAAAACACUCUUCCUUCGUUUUUGCUCUCAGAGCAGUAAGGCCUUUUGGAGUAUCUUUUCCAGUCGCUGGUUUUGAUUACAAAGGUCCACAGCUGUAUCAUUAACUGUUUCCUCGUAAUAUUGUCUGAAUGCAUUAACUGUUUUUUUUUCUUUUAAUAUCUGGAUUAUCCACUGCAGACCAUGAAUCACAAAUUGACAAGAAAAUGUGUUUCAACUAAGACCUACCAAUGCUAAUCGCUGCUUGGGAUCAAAACCCAAUUGAGGCCAAAUUGAGUGGGUAGAUCUGGUUUUUAAUCCAAAUGAUUCUUCAUAAAUUAUUGUAGUUGUCUUGCAUUAUAUUUCUAGCUAAGAAAACAAAGAAGUGCCUUAAAUUCUGAAAAAUUAGAAAAAGACAAUAAAAAAAAGGUUCAAAUCACGUUAAGAAAGGAAUGAGAAGAAGAAGAAGAAGAAGAAAGGAAGGUGAUGUGGUCCAGACAAUACGAAUACUUUCCUCCAGAAAAUCUCGCUCAUUUCUUGUCCUUUACACACCCGUUUGCUCCCCUUCACAAACCAGCAAUCCUUCCAAACUUUUUUCCAUGACCAGCACAUGCUACUGAUAUCAGAUAAACAUUAAAUGAAGAGAAGAAAUAGAGAACCAGAUGAGAAGCAGGAAUUUCAGUAGAAUGCCAUUCAGUAGAAUGCCAUAAUCAAUUUCAGGAAUUUCAGUAGAAUGCCAUUCAGUAGAAUGCCAUAAUCAAUUUCAGGAAUUUCAGUAGAAUGCCAUUCAGUAGAAUGCCAUAAUCAAUUUCAGGAAUUUCAGUAGAAUGCGAUAAUCUCUCAGUAGAAUUCUCCAGACCAAUCGUGUUAUUAAGUGAAGAUCAUGAAUUCAAAACUAUGAUAUUAGAAUCAAUAUAGAUAGCACCUGAGCAACCCAACAAGAAAAAAAAAAAACAAGAGACAAGUUACCAAAACAUAGAUUUCUAAAAAUAAGAAAUGGCGCGAUUGAAUCACUACAUUACAUAGUAUAACGAUGAUCAUCAGGAAUAUAAAAUAAAAAUUCUUCUCAACUCGAGCGAAGAGGGUAUUAACUAAUACAUGGUUUCUAGUUCAAGAGCCAGCAUCAAAAUUACUAGAUUAUGAGAUUUAUUUUAAACACCUCAGUGUGAUAGUACAGUGUCCUAUAUGAGAUUCACACACGAACCAGCAAGAUGUCGUGUCAUUCUAGUCAUACAUGUGAUUGACAUGCCAGAAGGGGGAGAUAUUUUCAAGAAGCGAGCUAAUUACUUGUAGAGAGCAGCAAGGUGAACCGGUUCAAUGUAGUGAAAACAUGUCUUUCACCGCUGAAACCAAACCGGAGUGAAAAUAUGGGUUUUCUACAUAGCCUUAUCACCUCUAGUCAACCACGGGUCUCGCAGCAAAGGAUACGGGUUCAAAAAAACAAAAUCACUAUUUAUGAAGCCAAUCACCCCACCCUUCUCUUAAAGAUUACAACUUUUUACUUAUCUUUAACAACAAAGCAUCUUCAAUAAUCUUAACCUCACUAAGUUUUCUGUAAAUUUCCUCAUCAACAAGAAUAUCAUCACUGCCAAACUUAUAAUCCUCCACAUUCAAUCCUCAACUAAAACCAUCGUAAUAAUAAUAAUAAUAAUAAUAAAAACAUCCUAAUAUCCUAUCAAUUUCUUAUUCAAAUACCUUAUAAUGGACCUGGUUACAUGAUCCACGUAAUACCCAGAAGUAAAAAUCGAGGGACUUUUCGUUUCUUAUUCUUCGAUGUUUUUUUUUGUCUUUCAUUUUCGUGAUCUUCUUCUUCUUCUUCUUGUUCUCUAAUGGUGUCUUCUUCAUCGAUCUUCGACGCUGAAAUUUAAGGUAUGUUUAACGCGGUGUAAAUCGAGUUUCUAAAAAUUUUGAGUUUUUUUUUAUUUAAAAUAAAUUUUAUUUUAUAUGUUUUCAUAUCGUUUUGAUGUGCUGGUAUCAAAAAUAUUUUUAAAAAAAUAAAAAUAAAAUUAUUAUUUUUUUGUUCAACCUCAAUUUCAACCAUGAAAAUUGUAAUUCUUGUCGGAUGAAUAAAUUAUUUUUUGUUCAACCUCAAUUUCAACCACAGUUUUAACCAAACAUAUAUAAAUAUCAAACUAACCUCAACUAAAUAGACACCGGAUGACUAUCACACCCUUGUUAUGGUAUCUGAUUCAGCGAAAAGGAGGGUAUUACGGUAAUUGGAACAACUUGAAUCGAGAAUCUGAACCGCUGUAUUCAUCCGCAAAGAUGCACACGCUAUUGAUAACUCGGCCAACUAAGUCGAUUACUCAAUGUAAUUAAGUAUUGCCUUAUUUUGAAUCACCAGCUAGCAACAAGUCUUCAAGCUUUGAAAUGACUGGUGGCGUACCACUAUUCCAAUGGUAAGGAAUAGAAAUCUCUUCAAAGUCACCAAGGAACUCUUUUUUUAGACAAUAGUGGAGAUUUUAUUAAAAUUUUUGGCUAAAAUGAGAAUAGCCUAAUAACAAAAAAAAAAAAAAAAGGAGCAACAACAGAGAAGAUAAAAUAAAGAAGACAUAAAACCACGGUAUCCACUCUAUAACAGGAAGAAGAAAACAGGGACCAGACAAUAGAUAAAAACAAGAAGUCAACUUCUGUUAUCCCCGAAAAAGAUCCCAUCAGAGUUGAUCCCUGAAUCCAAACCGGUGUAAGCAAAAGUUGUGCUAUCAAACUUCAACCAUAAAGAGGACCUGUGGACGAUCAAGUAAAAAUAACCUUGAAGAUCUGGAGUCACAUCAUUGAAGAUUAUAUCAUUAUGAUGUUGCUAUAGAGCAAUAGAUCCAAGAGAUGGAAACUGGAUAUUACAAUGUGUCGAAUUUUAGUCCUUUUAUAUAUGAUAUGGUGCUUCACUUCAGCGUCCACGGUUUGUCCCAGGUACAGCUCUUUUUUCAGGUUUUGUAUUUGUUAGACUGGAUGUUUUAAUGUUCAGUGUUAAGGUUUUGUGCGGAUGUAGGGUGCUUCUCAUGCUAAAACUUGCUUUACAAGUAGUGUUUGAGGCUUUUCAUUGUGUUAACAUCGAAUCUCGGAUUGGAUUUUGAGUUAAUUGCUAGGCUGAAAUCCUUUUAGUCUUUUGCUUGUGGCGUAAAUAUAUGUAUCAUGUCCAUAGGAUGCGAACUUGAAAAGUUUCCAUUUGGUAUUUCGCAAUUGCAUAAGCAUAUGUGAAGCUAGCUCAUUCCACAUCGCCGAGCCAAGUUUUUUACUGAUUCCACUAUGAUGUCUAGGAAAUGUUAUGACACGUACGUCAAAAACAAUAUGCAUUAAUUUUGUUGCUGGUAGAGAGUGCCAUAUGCAAUAUUUUCUGUCUCUUAUUGGAGCCUUUUUAUGAAAAUUGUGUUAAUUCAACAAUUCUCAUUACAUACCCCGACCUGAUUUUUUUUGUUAAAGAAUUCUUUUACCUUUUUGAGAGUGAUUUUGGUUUGUCUGGUUGCUGAUUGCAGGUAAACAUGGAUGGAAGUUCUCUUGACUUCAACUUACUGGAAAUGCAACCUUUGAGCAAUCUGAAAUGGUUUGAUUACUGCUUCAGAGAAGUACUUCCUGGAAGAGUUGGAAGGACCUUGGAUGAAGUUGGGUCUAUUCUUCGGACUGUGCAAGAAGAUCAGAGUGUUCUGCUUGUGAAUAUAUUUGGGGCAUCAGAUACAAUCACGAGGAACAUGCUUUGCCACUUUGAGAGGCUAAAUAUAAGGAACUAUAUAUUGAUUAGACCUGGGUCUGAUUUUCUAUUUGAUCUUGCUAGAAGAGGGCAUCCUGUGAUUGAUGCUGACCAGUUUUUCAAUCAUCAUAGAGCACAGAAAGUAAUGGGAUUUCAACAUUCCAGUGCGGAGCUGAUGAAGAACAUUUUAGUGAAUGCUUACGUAAUUAAGAAGUGUUUAGAAAAUGGGUAUGAUUCUUUGAUAGUGAAUCAUGGUCUUUGCUGAUUUCCUCUCUAAUUUAGAUCUGAAUUUUAAUCCCCAGAUUCCAUAACCUUGGCCCGUAUUCUAAAAGCCAACAACUCUCUUUCUAUAUUCCUGCAUCAGCAUGGCAACUCUUCACUCUCUGAUUCCUGAAUCUUGAAAACACUCUUCCUUUUUUUUUCCUCUCAGAGGAGUAAGGCCUUUUGGAGUAUCUUUUCUAGUCGCUGGUUUUGAUUACAAAGGUCCACAGCUGUACCAGGCAUCUUUGUUUCCUCGUAACAUUGUCUGAAUUCAUUAACUGUUUUUUUUUCUUUUAAUAUUUGGAUUAUCCACUGCAGACCAUUGAUUUUAGAUGCUUUACUGGCUAGGGUCACAAAUUGACAUGAAAAUGUGUUUCAACUAAGUCCUACCAAUGUUGAGAGUUGAGAAUUCAUAAUUGCCCGUUGUUGAGAGAUGCUUUGGGCAGGAGUUUCCUGGUGCAAAGAAUAUGGAAACCGGUGAAAAAGAGAUGCUUUGGGCCCAAUGCCAUGGAUUACAAGUGUGCUAAUAUACACGAUCUUUCUAUCAUUUCUUCCCCUGCCUCUUGCUUUUGACAUCUAGAAACGCAGGAUGGGGCUUGAGUGAAGAAAAAGCACGAGAAUCUGAUAGGCAAGGGCAGCAAGGUGUUGAACGAGUGGCCUGCUUGAUACCUUGCUUGUUGGAUGCAUAGCUGCUUAAUUAUGUGUAUAAAACAGGGAAAUAAAAGGUAUCAUCACCCUUCCAAUUUUAGUGGUAUUUGAAAAGAAUUAUUUUAAAUUACAAAGCCAAUAAUGGGAUGAUAUUAUACCCGUUGAUAUGGGCCAAUAUUUUCAUACCAAAACAGAUGAUUCAGUACAGUUAUUUGCCAAUAAUCCCUCCUCUGUUUGUUUUUUCUAUGUGUUUGUUGCAAUCCCUUACUGUUUUUUGUUGAUUUGUUAUCAACGUUACUUAGUUUUACAAAUCUCAUGCUGAACACUUUGAAUUGCAGGUUGAACACGCGGAGCUUAUAAGAAUCAAUAUGGAAUAUGACAGAGUCUAAGUUCUUAGGGUUUUUUUUCCUUCAUCUCCCCACCCUCCUCUUCAUGGAGUAGGACAGUACCCUUUGUUAAAUAAUAUUUAUGUAGUCUUAUUUAUUAAGGGUAGAAUAAUACUUUCAGUUUAACCUAUAUAUACUUUGUUUGUAUUUAGGUUAAGACUAAGCACUCAUAAUAUAUAUAUUAUUCAGAAUUCUAGCCUCCUUUUCGUGUUUGAGCUUAAUUAUUUUAACAUGGUAUCAGAGCUGGUUUUAUGGAACGAGGCUUAAUCCCGAACACAGCUUCGCUUAGUUAUUUUUUGGACUGAGAUUUUGUCUUCCGCUUCUGCAAAAUUUGAUAUUUCGUCAGUUUCUGCAAUUAUUUUGGUAUUUCGUCUUCCCUUCAGCUUCUGCAAUUUGGUAUUUGCGUUCAGUUUCUGCAAAUUUGUUCUGUGUUUUGGAGUAAUCGUAUAAUUUUGAGAAGAUAUUUGUUUAGUUUCUGCAAUCUCUGUUCAGUUUCUGCAAUUUGGUAUUUUGUUUUCCGCUGCUUUUGCAUUCUGGUUCUCUGUGAUUGUUGAUUAUGGCUACUGAACGAGAUGAUUCGCUUCAGUCUGUGAGUGUGAGGUUGGAUGGGAAGAACUAUUCGUAUUGGUGCUAUGUAAUGAGAAAUUUUCUUAAGGGUAAGAAGAUGUGGGGAUAUGUCAGUGGAGCUUAUGUGGUACCUAAGAAUACUGAAGAAGGAGAUACUGCUUCGAUAGAUGCAUGGGAAGCAAACAAUGCAAAGAUCAUUACUUGGAUCAACAAUUCUGUUGAGCAUUCUAUAGGUACACAGUUGCAAAGUAUGAGACAACAAAGGAGGUUUGGGAUCAUCUGCAAAGGUUAUUCACACAAUCAAAUUUUGCAAAACAGUAUCAGUUAGAGAAUGACAUACGAGCUCUUCACCAGAAGAAUUUGAGUAUUCAGGAGUUCUAUUCUGCCAUGACAGAUCUUUGGGAUCAAUUAGCUCUUACAGAAUCGGCAGAAUUAAAAGCAUGUGGUGCUUAUAUUGAACGUAGAGAGCAGCAACGAUUGAUACAGUUUUUAACAGCACUUCGCAAUGAUUUUGAAGGACUUAGAGGUUCAAUUCUGCAUCGUUCUCCACUGCCUUCUGUUGACUCUGUUGUCAGUGAGUUAUUGGCUGAAGAAAUACGUCUUCAGUCUUAUUCUGAAAAGGGAAUUCUUUCUGCUUCAAAUCCUUCUGUACUAGCAGUACCUUCUAAGCCAUUCUCUAAUCAUCAGAAUAAGCCUUACACAAGGGUUGGCUUCGAUGAGUGCAGUUUCUGUAAGCAGAAAGGUCAUUGGAAGGCUCAGUGUCCUAAGUUGAGACAGCAGAAUCAAGCUUGGAAGUCUGGCAGUCAGUCACAAUCUAAUGUUCAUCGACCACCUCAGGGUUAUAAACCACCACACCACAAUACUGCAGCAGUAGCUUCACCAGGCUCUAUUACCGAUCCUAAUACUUUGGCUGACCAAUUUCAGAAGUUUCUCUCCUUGCAGCCACAAGCAAUGUCCGCUUCUUCCAUAGGUCUGUUGCCUCAUAGUUCCUCAGGUAUGUCACACUCUGAAUGGGUCCUGGAUUCUGGUGCUUCCCAUCAUAUGUCUCCAGAUUCCUCAUAUUUUACCUCUGUGUCCCCUUUGUCCUCCAUUCCUGUUAUGACUGCUGAUGGCACUCCUAUGCCCUUAGCAGGUGUUGGUUCUGUUGUCACACCUCACUUGUCUCUCCCUAAUGUUUAUCUUAUUCCAAAACUCAAAUUGAAUCUUGCGUCUGUUGGUCAAAUAUGUGAUUCUGGUGAUUAUUUAGUCAUGUUUUCUGGUUCUUUUUGUUGUGUACAGGAUCUGCAGUCUCAGAAGCUGAUUGGGACAGGCCGUAGGGAGAAUGGACUAUAUAUUUUGGAUGAGUUAAAAGUGCCAGUUGCUGCUGCUGCCGCUGCUACUACUACUAUUGAUUUGUCUUCCUUUCGUUUGAGUCUUUCAUCUUCUAGUUUUUAUUUAUGGCAUUCCCGUCUAGGUCAUGUUUCGUCUUCUCGUUUGAGAUUUUUGGCAUCCACAGGAGCUUUAGGAAAUUUGAAAACUUGUGACAUUUUAGAUUGUAGUGGAUGUAAACUGGCAAAAUUUUCUGCUUUACCUUUUAAUCGAAGUAUUUCUGUUUCAUCUUCACCAUUUGAUUUGAUUCAUUCUGAUGUAUGGGGACCUUCUCCUGUUGCCACAAAAGGAGGGUCUCGAUAUUAUGUCUCUUUUAUUGAUGAUCAUACUCGUUAUUGUUGGGUUUAUUUAAUGAAACAUCGUUCUGAAUUCUUUGAGAUAUAUGCAGCUUUUCGAGCUCUUAUCAAAACUCAACAUUCUGCUGUGAUCAAAUGUUUUAGGUGUGAUUUGGGUGGGGAAUACACCUCUAAUAAAUUUUGUCAAAUGCUUGCCUUAGAUGGAACCAUCCACCAAACUUCAUGUACAGAUGCUCCUGAGCAAAAUGGUGUUGCUGAAAGAAAACAUAGGCACAUUGUCGAAACUGCUCGUUCUCUCUUGUUGUCUACUUUUGUUCCUAGUGAGUUUUGGGGAGAAGCUGUUCUUACUGCUGUAAGUUUGAUUAAUACAAUUCCAUCUUCUCAUAGUUCGGGUCUAUCUCCUUUUGAAAAGUUAUAUGGGUAUGUCCCUGAUUAUUCCUCAUUUAGAGUCUUUGGUUGUACUUGUUUCGUUCUUCGUCCUCAUGUAGAACGCAGUAAGUUAUCCUCUCGAUCCGCUAUUUGUGUCUUUCUAGGUUAUGGUGAAGGUAAAAAGGGGUAUCGUUGUUUUGAUCCAAUAACUCAGAAACUUUAUGUGUCUCGUCAUGUUGUCUUCCUUGAGCAUAUACCUUUCUUUUCUAUUCCAUCCACUACUCAUAGCCUGACAAAAUCUGAUCUUAUUCAUAUAGAUCCUUUUUCUGAGGAUUCUGGUAAUGAUACCUCUCCCUAUGUUCGAUCAAUUUGUACUCAUAACUCUGCAGGUACUGGUACUUUACUCUCUGGCACACCUGAAGCUCCAUUCUCAUCUACAGCCCCUCAAGCUUCAUCUGAGAUUGUGGAUCCACCUCCACGUCAGUCCAUCCGCAUUCGUAAGUCCAUAAAACUACCAGAUUUUGCUUAUUCUUGUUAUUCUUCAUCAUUUACUUCCUUUUUAGCUUCUAUUCAUUGUCUCUUUGAGCCCUCUUCCUAUAAAGAGGCAAUUCUUGAUCCGCUUUGGCAGCAAGCUAUGGAUGAGGAACUUUCUGCUUUGCAUAAGACAGAUACUUGGGAUCUGGUUCCUCUACCUCCUGGUAAGAGUGUUGUUGGUUGUCGUUGGGUGUAUAAGAUCAAGACUAAUUCUGAUGGGUCUAUUGAGCGAUACAAAGCUAGGCUGGUUGCAAAAGGAUACUUUCAACAGUAUGGUAUGGACUAUGAGGAGACAUUUGCCCCGGUUGCAAAAAUGACUACUAUUCGUACUCUUAUUGUCGUAGCUUCGAUUCGUCAGUGGCAUAUUUAUCAGCUUGAUGUUAAAAAUGCCUUCUUGAAUGGAGAUCUUCAAGAAGAAGUUUAUAUGGCACCCCCUCCUGGUAUUUCACAUGACUCUGGAUAUGUUUGUAAGCUUAAGAAAGCAUUAUAUGGUCUCAAACAAGCACCCCGUGCUUGGUUUGAGAAAUUCUCUAUUGUGAUCUCGUCUCUUGGCUUUGUUUCUAGCAGUCAUGAUUCUGCUCUUUUUAUUAAGUGCACUGAUGCAAGUCGUAUCAUUCUGUCUUUAUAUGUUGAUGACAUGAUUAUUACUGGUGAUGAUAUUGAUGGUAUUUCAGUUUUGAAGACAGAGUUGGCUAGACGGUUUGAAAUGAAGGAUUUGGGUUAUCUUCGAUAUUUCCUGGGUAUUGAGGUAGCAUACUCACCUAGAGGUUACCUUCUUUCUCAGUCGAAAUAUGUUGCAGAUAUUCUUGAGCGGGCUAGACUUACUGAUAACAAGACUGUAGAUACUCCUAUUGAGGUUAACGCAAGGUACUCUUCUUCUGAUGGUUUACCUUUGAUAGACCCUACUUUAUACCGCACUAUUGUUGGGAGUUUGGUAUAUCUCACCAUUACUCGUCCAGAUAUUGCAUAUGCUGUUCAUGUUGUUAGUCAGUUUGUUGCUUCUUCUACUACUGUUCACUGGGCAGCUGUUCUUCGUAUUUUGCGAUAUCUUCGGGGUACAGUUUUUCAGAGUCUUUUACUUUCAUCCACCUCAUCAUUGGAGUUGCGUGCAUACUCUGAUGCUGAUCAUGGUAGUGAUCCCACAGAUCGCAAGUCUGUUACCGGGUUCUGUAUCUUUUUAGGUGAUUCUCUUAUUUCUUGGAAGAGCAAGAAACAAUCUAUUGUUUCUCAAUCAUCCACCGAAGCAGAAUAUCGUGCCAUGACAUCUACUACCAAAGAGAUUGUUUGGUUACGUUGGUUACUUGCUGAUAUGGGAGUUUCCUUUUCUCAUCCUACUCCUAUGUAUUGUGACAACCAGAGUUCUAUUCAGAUUGCUCAUAACUCGGUUUUUCAUGAGCGCACUAAGCACAUUGAGAUCGAUUGUCAUCUUACUCGUCAUCAUCUCAAACAUGGCACCAUUGCUUUGCCUUUUGUUCCUUCUUCCUUGCAGAUUUCUUUACCAAGGCGCAUUCCAUCUCUCGUUUUCGUUUUCUGGUUGGCAAACUCUCGAUGCUUGUAGCUGCCGCAUCGUGAGUUUGAGGGGAGAUGUUAAAUAAUAUUUAUGUAGUCUUAUUUAUUAAGGGUAGAAUAAUACUUUCAGUUUAACCUAUAUAUACUUUGUUUGUAUUUAGGUUAAGACUAAGCACUCAUAAUAUAUAUAUUAUUCAGAAUUCUAGCCUCUUUUUCGUGUUUGAGCUUAAUUAUUUUAACACCCUUCAUUUCUGAUUUAGUCAUUUCCCUGGUUGAAUACGUGGCUCCCCCAACAUUAUUUUUUCCAAGAAAUACGGAGAAUUUGGUUACAUAAUCAAUUGGAAAACUCUUUAGAUAGCACCUAACGGAGUAUUAUGGAAUGUUUAUUAUGUAUAUUUAUAUUUAUCUUGUAUUUACCUUAUAUAGGAUUCUGAUCAUGUGUUACAUGUUUAGUGUUGUGUACACCCCCCCCCGAUCAUGUGUUACAUGUUUAGUGUUGUGUACAACCCCCCCCCUCUCUCUCUCUCUCUAUAUAUAUAUAUAUAUAUAUAUAUAUAUAUAUAUAUAUAUAUCACAUAAGGGGGAGUGCUACAGACAAUGAUCUACAACCUCCAGAAUAUAUUCCAAAACUCUCUCUCUUAAACUUCAACUUGGUAUCAGAGCAUUAUACUUUCAACAUGACUUUUAUCUUCAAUCGGCGUUUCUCUCCUCUCCUCACGGAUCCUACCGCAUCUCAAUCCGCAAACACGCUAUCUACAUCUCUUCCUGCUAAUUCUUCAAUUAUGCAAUCUGCGUUAGGUUUUUCAAUGGCACCUCUGCCUGGAUUUUUCAAUGGCACCAUAUUUGUUGGGUCAGGGUGUGUCUGUCUUUGUUGACGGGUCCUAUUCUUGUCCUACACUCUAUAUUGCUACCAACGAUACAACAGCUCCUGUUAUUAAUCCAUCCUUUCUUUCAUGGAAGCAACAAGACCAAUUAAUUAUGAGUGCUCUCCUCUCCUCUUUAUCUAUUGAAAUUCUACAUCUUGUGGUUGAUUGUGACACAUCUCAUAGCAUCUGGCAGACACUUGAAAAAUCCUUUGCCUCACCAUCCCCUUCAAGGAUUAUGCAAUUACAUGGGUCGUUUCAGGAUUUACAUCAAGGCGAUGACUCAGUUAGUGUUUAUCUACAGCGAGCUAAGGUCUUAUUCGAUGAGUUGGCUGCUGCUAAUCGGCCUCUUUCCCUAGAGGACUUUAAUCUUUAUGUGUCUCAGGGCUUACGCAGUGAUUUCAAAAACUUAGUGACCAGUUUGUCUACACGGGCAGACCCUUUGUUAUACUCUGAUCUUCACAGUCACUUGCUCACUCAUGAAUACCUCAAUAAGAGCUCCCUUCAAUCCACUAUUGGCUCUCCUAUGACAACACCUCUACUGCCCACACCUUCAAAUCCCACGGCUUCAGCAUUAUUAGCCCAGCGGAGUGGUUUCGGUGGUUCUUCUAGUCACUCCUAUCGUGGGCGUGGACGUCAUCGAGGUGGAUGAAGAGGCUACCAUGGUGGAAACAAUGGCCCGCCUGGAUCUGGUUGGCAGCAGACAUCUGGGUCUGGUUUUUAGCAGGGUUCCCAUGAGUCUAGGACUGGUUGGCAGCAGCAUUCUCGUGGGUUUUCCAACUCUAACAACAACUUUCAAAAUGUCAAUUGUGUUAUGGCUUUGGGCAUUCAGCCAAGUAUUAUUCCCAAUUCACCUCACAUAAUUUACAAGCUACCGCUAACUUAGCAUUUCAGAAUCCUCAGCUCUCUUCUGCAAGUUGGUUUCCAAAUACGGGUGCUAAUCAAUAUGUGACAUCGGACCUUGCCAGUAUGACGAGUUCAGAGCCCUAUCCUGGCAGUGAUCAAUUACAUGUUGGUGAUGGCAAGGGACUUGUUAUAUCACAUAUUGCCCACUCUAAACUUUAUACUCCCAAAUGCACUUUUAUUCUAUCGAAUGUUCUACAUGUCCCAAAUAUUAAAAAAACCUCUAUUGUCUGUUCAAAAAUUUUGCAUUGAGAAUAACGUAUUUUUUGAAUUUCAUUCAUCUAUGUUUUAUGUUAAGGAUUUGAUAACCAAGGAGGUGCUCCUUUCCAGUCAGAGUAGCGAUGGUUUAUAUGUCUUAUCCGAGUCUUCUGCAACGUCCGUACCUCAAGCUUUCCUGUCUACGUCUGUGUCCUCCACUGCUAAUGUUUGGCAUCGUCAUCUUGGGCAUCCUAGCUCUUGUAUUUUAGGUUCUUUAGUAUCAAAUAAUAAAGUUUCAUGUACUUCUAGAGUUUUUAAUUUUAAUUGUUUAGGAAAAUCAUCACGUUUUUCGUUAGGCCUUACUGGUCAUAAAACUUGCGCUCCUCUUGAGCUUGUUUCCAGUGAUGUUUGGGGACCUUCUCCUAUGCUAUCUAAUGAUGGUUAUUGUUAUUUUGUGAUUUUUAUGGAUAUAUCUGGUUCUUUCCUUCAGCAGCUAAAUCUGAUGUGUUUAACAUUUUUCAUCAGUUUCAAGUUCUUGUUGAAUGCCAAUUCGCCACCAAAAUUAAGUCAGUUCAAACAGAUUGGGGUGGUGAAUAUAGGAAGUUAAACAUAUAUUUUAAAACCAUUCAUUACCGUCUAAUUUGUCCUCACACACAUGAACAAAAUGAUAUGGUUAAGCGUCGUCAUCGUCAUAUUGUUGAAACUGGCCUUACGCUUCUUGGUUAAUGUAAGGCUCCGUUAAAAUUUUGAAGUUAUGCUUUUGAAAUGGUUGUCUAUCUCAUAAAUCGUAUGCCUACUGCUGUUUUAAAUAGUUGUACCCCUUUUGAAAGUUUGUUUAAAUCUCCUCCUGAUUACAGUUUUCUUCGUAUUUUUGGGUAUCUAUGCUUUCCAUUGCUUCGUCCCUAUAAUCGACAUAAACUAGAUUUCCGUUCUACCCCAUGUGUGUUUCUUGGCUAUAGUUCCUCUCAUUUGGGUUAUCGUUGCCUUGAUUUGUUGUCCUCUUGUAUGUAUAUUGCACGUCAUGUUAAAUUUAAUGAAAAUACAUUUUCCUUUGCAUGUUCUGAACAGACAACACCCUUGCCUUCUCCAUCUUUACAAACAACACUCCCAGCCUUAACUCUUUUUCCUACACCUAUGACUUCUCCAUCUGCCUUAUCUCCGCCCCUUUCUCCAACGCCUGACCCCAGGGUUGUUGCCUCCCCUUCACCUCAUACCGUGAGUAACAAUCCCUAUGCUCCAUCUCCACUUUAUUAUGUUUCUAACGAUCACUCUCCAAGUAUGCUCUCUGUUUCUCCAGGUAUGGCGAUUCCAUUGUCAGCGAUCUCUUCUCAUAUUGUGUCUUUAUCUCGACCUCAUAGCAAUCCCACCUCGGGUCCUUCCUCUGGCUCUUCUCCUAGCUUGAAUUUGGUAGAUUUUGAUCUUCAGCAGGUUCCUCAUAAUCCAUCAAUUCUGCCAGCUGACUCCUCUCGCAGCCACCACUUGACACUUCGUCCUCGCCACCCAAAACAGGCGCAUUUUAGUGUGUCUCAGUCCUCUGCUCCUGUGUGUCCUGCUUCUCCUGAGUAUGAACCCCUCAUGUUCAAAGACGCUUCUCGACAUUCGGCAUGGCAGCAAGCCAUGCAAGAUGAAAUUUGAGCCUUGCACUCUAAUGGUACGUGGACUCUAGUUCCUUAUUGUUCCUCUAUGAAUGUUGUUGGUAGUCGUUGGGUCUAUAAAAUCAAGCAGCGAGCGGAUGGUAGUGUUGAUAGGUAUAAAGCUCAUUUUUUUGCCAGAGGGUUCACUCAACAAGAAAAAAUAGACUACCUUGAGACUUUCAGUCCGGUUGUUAAGCCUGCAACUGUGCGGUUAGUACUUACUAUUGUUGUGACUCGCUGGUGGUUUAUUCAUCAACUUGAUGUUCACAAUGCCUUCUUGAAUGAGAUUCUUCAAGAAGAGGUGUAUAUGGAGCAACCACCUGGUUUCUCUCAUCCAACUCUAUCAUCUCAUGUUUGUCGCCUUCAUAAGUCUAUCUAUGGUUUAAAAUAGGCUCCCCGGGCGUGGUAUACCAGACUUAGUGAUUAUCUCAUUUCUCUUGGUUUUCGUGCCUCUAAUGCUGAUACUUCUCUGUUUAUUUACUCUGCUGGCCAUGAUCUCAUUUACUUGCUUGUGUAUGUGGAUGACCUUCUGCUUACUGGGAACAAUUCAACUUUGCUAUGCCACUUGAUUACCUUACUGAAUUCAGAGUUCAAAAUUAGGGAUUUAGGCUUUGUGCAUUAUUUCUUGGGGAUUGAAGUCACCAAGACUGCCAUAGGACUUAUGCUCUCACAUCAUAAAUAUACUCCUGAUAUCAUUCAGCGAGCUGGUAUGUCUUUGUGUAAAGCUGUCGACACGCCUGCUUCAUCCUCGUCUAAGCUAUUGCUGACUUCGGAUACUCGGUACUCUGAUCCUACUCGUUACCGAUAGAUUGUUGGUGCUUUGCAGUAUCUCACUUUUACUCGUCCAGAUAUUUGUUAUGCUGUUAGUAAAGUCUGUCAGUUUAUGCACUCGCCUACCGAUGGCCAUUGGUCUCUUGUCAAAAGAAUUGUCCGGUAUCUCUUGUCAAAGGAAUUGUCCGGUAUCUCCAAGGUACGACAUCUUAUGGUCUGCACAUCACUCGGGGUUCUUCUCUUUCCUUACAUGGUUUUACAGAUGUUGACUGAGCUGGUAGUCUUGAUGAUAGAAAAUCCACCGGUGGCUACUUGAUAUAUCUCGACCGAACACCUAUUUCUUGGAAGUCUGCAAAACAACGAGCAGUGGCUUGUUCAUUGACUAAAGCAGAAUAUAAGGUUCUUGCGGAUGGUACUGCUGAGAUCUUAUGAAUUCGGGCUUUGUUGUCAGAUCUUCAUUUUUCUCCUGAUUCUAUGACUAUCCUUUGGUGUGAUAAUUUGGUUGCUACCUACUUGUCUGUCAAUCUUAUCUUUCAUGCUCGCACUAAGCAUGUUGAAGUCGAUUAUCACUUUGUUCGUGAUCGAGUUGCUAAAAAGGAAAUUGAGGUUCGGUUCAUCUCCUCGCAGGAUCAACUUGCUGAUGUUCUUACCAAACCUCUUCCUCACGCAUCCUUCACUUAUUUUCGGUCCAAGCUUUAUGUGGAAUUUCCUCCUUCAGCUUGAGGGGGCGUAUUAUGAAAUGUUUAUAAUUAUGUAUAUUUAUAUUUAUCUUGUAUUUACCUUAUAUAAGAUUCUGAUCAUGUGUAGUACACUACAUGUUUAGUAUUGUGUACAACCUUAUAUCUAUAUAUCUAUCACAUGAGGGGAGUGCUACAGACAAUGAUCUACAGCCUCCAGAAUAUAUUCCAAAACUCUUUCUCUUAACUUCAACUCGAAGCGUUUUUAUCAUGUUUGUAAGUGUUUUUUCAAAGUGCUUUGAAGUGUAAAAACAUCAAAUGUGAUUUUAGAUUAUUUUGAUAUGAUAAAACCGAAAACAUAAAAAAAAUAAAACUGAAAAUGCAUUAAUUUCUUGAUAUAUUUAUAGUCUAAAUACACUGGGUUGAAAUCAUGCCUGCUCAUAAUCGGAACUUCAAUGGAACUCGUAGGUCAAUGUUCUUUACUGGUCUGGUUAUGGACUUGACUUUGACAUGGAGUGCAUGUACCCUGUUGCUGUUUCAACACAAAAAGAAGAAGAGGGGGGCAAAUAUGUAGUUAACCACAGUCGUUGCUCAACAGGUAAUUACUUUUAUACAAUUUGCAAUAUAAAACCUCAGUUUUUCUUCACAUGAAGAAGAAAUAUAAAAAUGAAGUCUCUUUUUCUUCCUUUAUAAGAAAAAUAAAAUAAAAUAUCAAAUCCUCAGAUCUAGAUUUGAAUUUUAUUAAAGAAAUUUCUUUUUAUUGUUUUAUUAUUUUUCAUAUUUCCGGAAAUAAUCUAAAACAAAUAUUCUUAAUUAGAAGGAAAAAGAAGGAGUUGUCGAUCCUCUCAUUAAACUGUAAAAUAAUCAAUCAAAUGUUAAAAUAAUUAGUGAGUGUUUUAAAGGAAGAAUAUUUUUCGCUUAAAAACUAUAGUUCACAUAAUCUUAUUAUAAUGGAUUUAUUUCCAAAUAGACUUUACAAAUACAGAUACUUUUAUUCACUUGCCUUUUGUUCUCUAUAUUUCUUUGAUCCACCAAGCUUAUGUUAUAUAUAUAUAGGUUUGACGUCGAACAAUUGAAGAUUCAUUUUCUAUUGCAUUAGUGAUGGUGUGAUGCUAAAAUUAACAUUAUAUUUUACUAUCAUUGCACUACAAAAAACAGAAAACAAUAUGUAAUGACUCUUCAAAAUAUAUUUAAAGAUACUUUUUAGUGUUGCUAAAUAUUUUCAACCCACAACAUAAUUAUCACAAAUGAUCACUAUAUAUAGUGUUAUAAGUUGAUGCAACGACACCCAACCCCCUAAAAAAAUUUAAACAUCCAGUUUAAUAAUUUGAUGAAUUAAAAAAUUAAGGAUCUAAUUUAAUAAUUUCAUCCAAUUUGAUAAUGAGAAAUUCUAAUUGGUUAUUAGAAAUUUUAAUUGGUUUCAGAGAUUAGACACGGAAAGUGAAAAGGAGAGAAUGAUUUAUUACUUUCAAAUUAUAUGCAAUCUUUUUUGUUAUGAAAAGGAGGUUUGAAUUCAAGAUUUUCUAGGAAAGAAAAAUACUCAUUGAAGAUAGUUCAAUGCAGAUGAUAAAACUUGGAAUAUCAAACCCAUGUCAGUUUUUAUACAGUUGAUAAAUAAACCUGCAGGUCCUCGAAGAACCUGCUUUCAAGCCUCGUUAAUAUCACAUUUCUUAGCCCGCAAGAACCCUAAUUCCCGCAAAAACCCUGCUUUCAAGUUUUUCAAUUGCAUGAGCUGCUUUUAUUUCCUCUGUCAUUCCUAUUUUCUUUGAUUCUCAUUUAAUCCUCUAAUGGUCAUCAAAUCUUUCUCAUUACUUCAGGUUUACACGUCACAUCAAUUUCAUUUUUCUACCAUCAAGGGUUGUGCUCUCGCUUUACCACAACCCUACAAAAACUAACAAAGAAAAAUGUUGAGACACUAAAAUACAAGCUUCGCUAAUAAAAAAACUACAAGUUGAAAAAACUCCACCUGCAACACCAAACCCUAAGUAUAUAAACUAACUUCCAUUCACAAUCAGCCGCCUCCUUCCCCUCACCCUCUCUUUCUCUCUGGUCAUCCUAUCAUCAUUGCUUCUCUCUCUCUGUUUCCAAUCAGAACUAAUUAAACAUACGAUGGCUGAGGCACUUGUAUCUCCGAUCUUGGAGCAGUUAACCACGAUCGUUGCUCAACAGGUAUUUUUCUGCCAUCUGCAAUAACCUGAUUUACCUAGCAGAGAUAAGAAAUGUAAAGGUCAAGCCUUUUUUCUUCCUAUCAUAAAAAAGAAUACUUUUAACUUGAAAAAAUAAAAAUAAUAUUUUAAAUCCUCAAAUAUAUAUUGGGAUUUUAUUAAAGAAUCUUCUUUUUCUUGUUCUAUUAUUUUUCACAAUUCCAAAAUAACCUAAAAGAAAAUAUGUCAUUGCUAAUAUAAGAAAACCGAAAAAGGCAAAACAAGAGUACUUGCCAAUUCUCUUUAAACUGAACUAUUAAGGGUAAAAUAAUCAAUAAAAAGUUCAAAGGACUAGCGAGUGAGUAUUUGGUGCGAAUUAAAACUAUAUAGUUAACACACAAUCUUAUUAUCAUGGCUUUAUUUCUAAAUGGACUUCACAAAUAUAUACAUGCAGAUCCUUUUAUUCACUUGCCUUUAUACAUCCAUAUAUCUAUAGUUUAAUGUAAAAUGAAAACCAGAUUUUAUGUCGGUUCAAAGGAGAAAUCCUUCUCUCGUGAGAACAUUGAACUCUUUCCAUACCUACAGGUUUAACGUUGUACCAUUUAAGAUUCAUUUUAUACCUUCCUGUAAAGUAGCAGGGUGCAGACAGAUAUCAUCAUAAUGAAGAUAAAAAGAAAAAAGAGAUAUUAUUAUUUUUAAUAAAUAUUUUAUAAACAAAUUAUUAAUAUUGUCAAUCCAUUUCACAAUAAAAUAUAUUAAUAAAAAAAAAUUAAUCUAUCCGUUGCCAAAAAUUAAGAAAUUGUAUUGAAAUUAUAGAAAUGUUUCCUCUGCUUCAAAUUUCUUAUCUUUUAUACACUAAUAGGUACAAGAAGAGGUGAACCUAGGAGGGGGUGUGAAGAAACAAGUCGACAAGCUGAAAAGCAAUCUCCUUGCUAUCCAAUCUGUCCUUGAAGAUGCAGAUAGAAAACAAGUGAAGGAUAAGGCUGUAAGAGACUGGGUAGACAAGCUCAAAAAUGUAUGCUAUGAUAUCGAUGACGUGCUAGAUGAAUGGAGCUCUGCAAUUCUUACAUGGAAAAUGAGGGAUGCUGAAGAAAAUACUCACAGCCUGCAGAAGAUACGGUGUUCCUUCCUGGGAUCUCCUUGCUUUUGUCUCAAUCAAGUGGUUCGACGUCGAGACAUUGCCCUCAAGAUCAAAAGAAGUAUGUGAAAAACUGGACGACAUUGCCAAAGAGAAAUCUAUGUAUGGCUUUGAGUUGUACAGAGCCACUGAUGAACUCCAACGAAUAACAAGUACCUCCCUUGUUGAUGAAUCAAUCGUGAGUGGUCGAGAUAAUGACAGGGAAGCUUUAGUAAGCAAGUUGCUGGGUGAAAGUAGUCAGGAAGCAUGGGACGUGGAUGCCAUCUCUCUAGUAGGGCUAGGCGGAAUUGGAAAAACAACUCUCGCCCAACUAGCUUUUAAUGAUGCUGAUGUUACGGCUCAUUUUGAGAAAAAGAUAUGGGUGUGUGUUUCAGAUCCAUUUGAUGAGGUUAGAAUAGCCAAAGCUAUCCUUGAGCAGCUUGAAGGGAGGGCACCGGAUUUGGUUGAAUUGCAAUCUCUUUUGCAAAGGGUUUCUGAAUCCAUUAAGGGAAAGAGGUUCCUUCUUGUCCUUGAUGAUGUAUGGACAGAAAAUCAUAGACAAUGGGAACAACUGAAACCAUCUCUCACAGGCGGUGCACCAGGAAGCAGAAUUCUAGUGACCACUCGUAAACAUUCUGUGGCAACGAUGAUGGGAACUGACCAUCGGAUCAACAUUGAGAAAUUGUCCGACGAGAUAUGCAGGUCAAUAUUCAAUCAUGUGGCAUUCCAGGAAAGAAGCAAAGAUGAGCGCGAAAGAUUGACAGAUAUCGACGGCAAAAUUGCAAGCAAGUGCAAGGGCUUGCCUCUAGCUGCCAAGGUAUUAGGAGGUCUGAUUCAGUCUAAAAGAACAAGAGAAGAGUGGGAACGUGUUUUAUCUAGCGAACUGUGGGGGCUAGAUGAGGUUGGUAGAGAUCAGGUUGAAAGAGGAAUAUUUCUACCUUUGCUUUUGAGUUACUACGAUUUACCUUCUAUGGUAAGACGAUGUUUCUUGUAUUGUGCCAUGUUUCCAAAAGACUAUGAGAUGCGCAAAUACGAAUUGGUGAAGAUGUGGAUAGCUCAAGGUUACCUCAAGGAGACUUCAGGUGGAGAUAUGGAGGCUGUUGGAGAGCAGUACUUUCAAGUCUUAGCAGCGCGCUCUUUCUUCCAAGAUUUUAAGACGUAUGAUCGAGAAGAUAUUAGAUUCAAGAUGCAUGGUAUAGUGAAUGAUUUUGCCCAAUAUAUGACAAAAAAUGAAUGUCUAACAGUGGAUGUCAAUAACCUUGGAGUAGCAACAGUGGAGACUUCAAUUGAAAGGGUUCGUCAUUUAAGCAUGAUGCUGUCAAACGAGACCUCUUUUCCCGUGUCCAUUCACAAAGCAAAAGGUCUUCGCAGCCUCUUGAUCCACUCUAGAGACCCUUCGCUUGGAGCUGCACUGCCUGAUUUGUUCAAGCAGUUGACAUGCAUUAGGUUAUUGAAUUUGUCAGAGUCUUCAAUCAAAGAAAUACCAAACGAGGUAGGGAAAUUGAUACCUUUGAGACACCUCAAUUUGGCAUCUUGUUAUCAGUUGGAGUCCCUGCCAGAAACCAUGUGUGAUUUAUGCAAUCUGCAAUCCCUAGACGUUACUUGGUGUGAUUCUCUCAAGGAAUUGCCUAAUGCGAUUGGAAAACUUAUCAAAUUGAGGCAUCUCCGGAUUUAUGGUUCAGGAGUGGCCUUCGUACCAAAGGGAAUAGAGAGGAUAACAUGUCUUCGAACAUUAGAUGAGUUUACUGUGUGUGGUGGUUGUGAGAAUGAAAGUAAAGCCGCUAAUCUAAGAGAAUUAAAAAACUUAAAUCACAUUGGAGGGAGUCUUAAGAUAUGGAAUCUACGAGGAGGUAUAAAAGAUGCGAGUGACGCUGCAGAAGCACAACUCAAGAAUAAGAAGCGCCUGCGUUGUUUGCUAUUGGCUUUCGACUACAACCGGCAGAACAGCAUUUUAAUUGAAGCUUUACGGCCUCCGUCUGACUUGGAAAAUCUAACCAUAUCUAGGUACGGAGGGUUGGAUUUGCCAAAUUGGAUGAUGACAUUAACCAGAUUACAGGAGCUUAAACUCUGUUAUUGUGCAAACCUGGAGGUCUUGCCUCCGUUGGGUAGAUUGCCCAACCUUGAAGGCCUGGUAUUGAGGUCGUUGAAGGUGAGAAGGUUGGAUGCUGGAUUUUUAGGUCUAGAAAAAGAUGAGAAUGCCAGUAUUAAUGAAGGAGAAAUUGCAAGGGUCACUGCUUUCCCCAAAUUGAAAGAACUUGAGAUUUGGUAUCUCGAAGAAGUAGAAGAGUGGGAUGGAAUUGAAAGGAGAGUGGGAGAAGAAGAUGCCAACACAACUUCAAUAUCCAUUAUGCCACAACUUCGAGAUUUGAUAAUUGAAAAUUGCCCAUUGUUGAGAGCACUACCUGACUAUGUUUUGGCAGCGCCUCUACAGGAAUUGGACAUAAGUAGAUGCCCCAUUCUAACGAAUCGUUACGGGGAGGAGGAGAUGGGUGAAGAUUGGCAAAAGAUUUCUCACAUCCCAAACAUUUGUUUUGAUGAUUACGGGAGAAAGACAGAACUCUUUAAUUAGAACCUGCAGGAACAGGUAAAUUCUUCAACCAGUGUUAAUUCUUAACGGUAAAAUACCGUUUUUCUGUAAAUGGAUUGAACUCAUUUGUAAUCUAUUCUUGAGUUGGAUUUUAUUUCCUACUUACAUUUAUUCUAUCAAAUGCAGCUGUGACUUUCUUUUUAGCAUUCUCUCUGUUUUUUUUUUUUAAAUAAAAAACACCACAUUGUGUCCCAUAACCAGAAACAACUAAAUCAAAUCAUAAUUGUUGGAUUUGUCAAAAUACAAACAUAAUUCAUGAAAAAUAAACUCAAGAUGCCAUGCUUUGUGAGCUUGAAAAAUAGACUUUCAAUGGAGGCAAUGGAGAAAAAAACUGGAGCUGCUGGAAUUGGUGGAGGCCGCGACGGCACACGGUGGAACAGUGGUGACGCAUGCCGGCGCAUGAAGUUCAUGCGCCACAGCCUUGACAGUGCAUUGGUAAGUUUAAUCAUACAGUCAUUACACAUCCAGAAGUCUUCUGGUAUUUAAUUCAACCUAAUAACAAUGGUGAGAGAGGCAACACCAAAACAGUGGUAGCGAGGGUUUACGCCUCUAGCAAGUAGCAAGAGAUAUAGCUUUGCUGCAAAGAGCAAGAGAAUUAAUUUGGUCUGAUACCUCGAAACAUUGCAUGACCGGUAAGGUAGGUAUAAUUAAUUAGAGAUGUAAGGACUCAGAAAUUUAUUACUGUGAAAAGAAGAAACAUUUACCAUCAUUCUAAUUACAGUUAGCCAUCUUUAGCAAGUAAAAAAAGCCAACCCCGUGUAAAGAUAGUGACUGCAACCUCUGAUGCAAUCUAAAUUUGGUGUAUCUUCAUCCUCAAUCUUUUCUGAAAAAUAUGAAAGUGUAUGAAAUAAAGAUUGUAUGAAUUCAGAGAGAAGAAACAGGUAAUAUCAUCAUGAGCAUCUGGAGUGGCUUCUAGAUGUGUUUUUUGUAAUAAAAGCCUGGAAUCUUCAAGUCACCUCUUCAUCCAUCCACUGCCACUUUGCUUGGCAUCUAUGAAUGAAAUUCCUUUCACGAUGGGGUAUUAACAGUGUUUUUUCAAAAUCUGUUGUUGGUAUGUGCUACCAAUGAUUUUCUAUGGUGAAAGGCAAACAACAGAAUCUCUCAUGACAGCUUUUCUUCUCCUGCAUUGUGUGGAAUCUUUAGCUUCAUCAGAAUGAUAUCAUCUUUAAUAGGGCUGCUCCAAAUCUUCAAAGCUGUUUUUCCUUGAUCUUCCGCAGUUUCUCAUUUUCUUCAGACUCUGCUGGCGAGGAUGUUCAUAACAGCUUUGAUGGCAUUGGUUUUGUAGAAAGGAGGAGCUGAUUUCAGUUGUUUUUAUCCUUUUCCCACACUGUUUUCCUUCCCCUGUUUCAAAACCUCUAAAGCUUGUUUGCUUUUUUUUUUUUUUUUUGUCAGCUAGAACUUCUGGAUGGUAGGCUAUUAUCUUUUUAGCCAUUUUCUUAUAAUACACUCGACUAUUAUAAGAAAAAAAGCAUCUGAAGUGGCUGAAUAUACAAGCUUCGGUUCCAUCUCCAUCAGCAUCAAAUGCACCCGAGCUAUUGGUGAGCAGCGCCAAUGAGAGGGAAAAAUAAAAAAUACCAUCCUGCAUUUACUCCAACCUUCCACCUCAUAUAUUCACAGAACUUUCAAUCUUGCCUUGCAUAGAAACCAACAGUGAACCUUAGGGGAGAGGUGACUCGCAGAAACUUAAAAAGCGGAAUCCACAUGCAGACAGUAACUCGGCCAACUCAGUCGAUUACUCAAUGUAAUUAAUUAUAGCACUCUUUGCUGAUUAUUUCAAAAAGGACCUCCUCUAGCCUUAUUUGAGUCACCAGCUAGCUACAAGUCUUCAAGCUUUGAAAUGACUAAUGGCGUACGGCGUACCACUCUGCCACUGGUAAGGAAAAGAAAUCUCUUUAAAGUCACCAAGGAACUUUUUUUUUUUUUACAACAGUGGAGAUUUUAUUAAAAUUUUUGGCUAAAAAGAGAAUAGCCUAAUAGCCAAAAAAAAAAAAGCAACAAAGAGAAGAUAAAAAAUAAAGAAGACAUAAAAGCACGGUAUCUACAACAGGAAAAAGAAAACAGGGACCAGACAAUUGAUAAAAACUAGAAGUCAACUUCUGUUAUCCCUGAAAAAGCAUCAUUGAAGAUUACAUCAAUACAAGAAAAGAGAAGUUGUUAUCAUGAAAGAUUCUGAAAUUUUCCUUGCAUCAUUUGUAGCACAUAUCAUCAAUAGAAUUUGGGAAAGAAUCACUAAUACCCCACCAAAAUAGGAAUUUCAUUCAUAACUUCCAGGCAAACACACAAUUAAUGAAGAGAUCGCAUGAAGUUUCAAAUCGUCUUUUACAAAACACACAUCUAGCUUGCUGAAGAGAAAAGAAAUCAUGCUGAAACAAGAAAUCACGGAUGAAGACUUUAUAAAAACCGAAAAGGUUAUACACCACUGUAAAGCAAUUGAUCCAAGAGAUGGGAACUGUAUUUUACUGUAUAAAAACCAUUUUACUAUACAACAAAAAUUUUUUAUGGGAUAACAUCAAAAUUUUGUUAUAAAUUAAAAAAUUGAUGAAAUCUUCUAUUUUAGUGAAUAUUAUCAAAAUUUUCAUUAAAUCUUAAAAAGUGAUGAAAUCUUCAGUCUUAAGGGAUUAACGUCAAAGUUUUUAUUAAAAUUCAAGAAAUUACAAAAUCUACUGUCUUUAGGGAUUGAUAUAAAAAAAUUAAUGAAAUUUCCUAUAUUGAGUGAAUGAAAGAUUUCAAAUAUAUAGUAGUAUAUAAAUAAUUUUCUGAACCAAAGAAAAAACAGAAUUUUUAGGAGUGAUUUAAAAUCAUGAACUAGAAUUUAAGUAUUCAAGUUGAGCAUAUUAAAUCUGCAAUGAGGUGCAUAUGGUGUUUUUUCAGUGCAGCGAAGCAUUGACUAAUAAAGACUGACUGAAUUGAAACAGAACGCAACGAGACUUUUGGGUUUGAAACUAAUCCAGUGACGACAGCAAAUAACCAUUUUUUUUUUUUGUAAGGAAAGGCACAUGGUGUGAUUUAUGCAAUCUGCAAUCACGUUACUUGGUGUGAUUCUCUCAAGGAAUUGCCUAAUGCGAUUGGAAAACUUAUCAAAUUGAGGCAUCUCCGGAUUGAGGGUUCAGGUGUGGCCUUCAUACCAAAGGGAAUAGAGAGGAUAACAUGUCU
This 25915-nucleotide long non-coding RNA is filed under the name Populus trichocarpa (black cottonwood). Its description in RNAcentral is "long non-coding RNA (PTRI_LNC004574)". Lineage: Eukaryota; Viridiplantae; Streptophyta; Magnoliopsida; Malpighiales; Salicaceae. The record is from RNAcentral.